This 527-nucleotide ribosomal RNA is filed under the name Salmonella enterica subsp. enterica serovar Typhimurium. RNAcentral describes it as "bacterial SSU rRNA". It matches the Rfam family "Bacterial small subunit ribosomal RNA", at positions 20 to 538 of the family's 1533-position model. Lineage: Bacteria; Pseudomonadati; Pseudomonadota; Gammaproteobacteria; Enterobacterales; Enterobacteriaceae. The record is from RNAcentral.
UGGCUCAGAUUGACGCUGGCGGCAGGCCUAACACAUGCAAGUCGAACGGUAACAGGAAGCAGCUUGCUGCUUCGCUGACGAGUGGCGGACGGGUGAGUAAUGUCUGGGAAACUGCCUGAUGGAGGGGGAUAACUACUGGAAACGGUGGCUAAUACCGCAUAACGUCGCAAGACCAAAGAGGGGGACCUUCGGGCCUCUUGCCAUCAGAUGUGCCCAGAUGGGAUUAGCUUGUUGGUGAGGUAACGGCUCACCAAGGCGACGAUCCCUAGCUGGUCUGAGAGGAUGACCAGCCACACUGGAACUGAGACACGGUCCAGACUCCUACGGGAGGCAGCAGUGGGGAAUAUUGCACAAUGGGCGCAAGCCUGAUGCAGCCAUGCCGCGUGUAUGAAGAAGGCCUUCGGGUUGUAAAGUACUUUCAGCGGGGAGGAAGGUGUUGUGGUUAAUAACCGCAGCAAUUGACGUUACCCGCAGAAGAAGCACCGGCUAACUCCGUGCCAACCGCCGCGGUAAAUCGUCGUGACUGG